GUAUAGCUCGUAUUGAUAAUU
Non-coding RNA from Caenorhabditis elegans, 21 nucleotides. The record is from Ensembl. NCBI's taxonomy places the organism in Eukaryota, Metazoa, Nematoda, Chromadorea, Rhabditida, Rhabditidae.